UCAAUCUUUUUCAAUGGUAAAUCAAACUACUAUGAUGAUUUAUCUAAAACAUAAGUGGUUGCUUAGCAGGAAUGAAAUGGGGUGCUUCAGCGGUGCCACUGGUGCUCUUUGUUAUAAGACCGAUUGUAUUGCGUGUAUAUGAAAAAAAAAACAACAAACAUCACUUUAUGAAAUACUAAAAUAUAUCUUAUGACACCAGAAAGUUAUGACAAUUCUUGUAAAGUAAAUUAAGAUUAUCUUUUUCACUUUGAAUAUAUGAUUGAUUGAAUGUGAUAAAUAUUCUUAAAUAGGCCGGCCGCCCAAUGGUUAUUAACGCCUGAGUUUGAGACCCCGUUUACACGGAAUUUGCACCGUACGUUUUUUUGGAAGAUAAAUCUUACCAUAUGCGUAGUGGCGCAUACAUUGAGUAUAGGAUCGUUCACAAGUGACGUAUAGCAAAAAACGUACGCAGUUUUUAACCAUCUGAACGGCUCUGUACUGAUGAGCGACAGAUUUUUAGCAGCUUAGACUCCAUUCACACGGAAUUUGCACUGCACGUUUUUUGGAAAUUAAAUCUUACCGACUACGUAGUGGGUCUUAGUUGAGUAUAGAAUGGUUCACACGUUUGUACUGCAAAAAAACGCAUACAGUUUAACCAUGUGAACAGCUCUGUAUUCUGUGUAUGCACUAAGUGUACGUAUUCGGUAAGAUUUAUUCAAAAAGUGUGCGGGUCUUGUGAACGUGUUCGCUCUUAUACAAGAAGUGUGGUAUUGUGUAUAAUGUCGGGUAAACGGAGUCUUAGGCUUCGAUCAGACGCUCGGGCGAUAGUAACCUGAGUGUCCAGCCACAGCAAUAAAAAAAAGUGAUAAAAUUGACACUUAAAUAAUAAAUAUCUAUCAUAAAAUGUAAAAAAUUGUUGGAAAAAUAGCGCAAAUUCAUUCGGCGUAUGAGUAUCGUAUCGUAGGGCUUAAAUUUUAUAGAACUUUUAGAAUUAGAACCCUUUUUUACACUAUUUCACUGAGUACGCUUCUGACUACACAUUCGACCAAUACGAUGUGGAGAAAGGUAUCCUUAGUAAAAGUUUGUGCACCUCGAAAACUUUGAUAGUUUUCGUACGUUUUUGUCGCAGCAACCCAGCACAGUACAGAAACCUGCUCAAUCUAGAGAUACUCCCCUAGCGUGGGCUGGGUCUGAUGUGAAACGAUCAAAAUACUGUCAAAAUAGACAUUUUAAAUGUCAUAGAGUCAGGGCCCUGAUUGGUGCUUGACGCGUCACAAAUUUUAACAGAUCAAGUGUAUAAAAAAUUUAGAUUGUAUAGGUACUUCAGGUUCAGUUUUAUUAGAGAAAAUAAAAAUCUUAAACUUAAUUACAAUAAAUAUUAGUCAUAGCUAAUUAAUUCUAUUAUUUACAAAUGAAAACCUUUCAAUUUUGAAUGCUCGUAACGUAAUGUAUUUUGUCUAGUAGGUCUUAAUAAUAAUUUCUUGUGCUGUUUAUAUUGAUUCAUUUGUUAAUGCAUUAAUUGAUUAUUAUUAUUUCAAUAGAUGUGUAAAGUUGUAUGCAAUGUAAUAGUUUGGCCAAAAAUAAAGCUUAUUUAUUCAAA
This is a long non-coding RNA of Maniola jurtina (meadow brown), 1579 nucleotides long. RefSeq lists it as uncharacterized. The record is from RefSeq and is a predicted model, not a curated record. The transcript is spliced from 2 exons. Lineage: Eukaryota; Metazoa; Arthropoda; Insecta; Lepidoptera; Nymphalidae.